UUGGGGAAGAUAAUGACGGUACCCAACGAAUAAGCAUCGGCUAACUCCGUGCCAGCAGCCGCGGUAAGACGGAGGAUGCAAGCGUUAUCCGGAAUUAUUGGGCGUAAAGCGUACGUAGGCUGUUUAAUAAGUCUGUUGUCAAAGCGCGAGGCUUAACCUUGUAAAGGCAAUGGAAACUGUAAGACUAGAGAGAGGUAGGGGCAGGAGGAAUUCCAGGUGUAGCGGUGAAAUGCGUAGAUAUCUG
This 244-nucleotide ribosomal RNA is filed under the name uncultured Pseudanabaena sp. RNAcentral describes it as "partial 16S ribosomal RNA". It matches the Rfam family "Bacterial small subunit ribosomal RNA", at positions 439 to 700 of the family's 1533-position model. The record is from RNAcentral. Lineage: Bacteria; Bacillati; Cyanobacteriota; Cyanophyceae; Pseudanabaenales; Pseudanabaenaceae.